CAGCAGUAGCCGCGGUAAUACGUAGGGUGCAAGCGUUAAUCGGAAUUACUGGGCGUAAAGCGUGCGCAGGCGGUUAUAUAAGACAGAUGUGAAAUCCCCGGGCUCAACCUGGGAACUGCAUUUGUGACUGUAUAGCUAGAGUACGGCAGAGGGGGAUGGAAUUCCGCGUGUAGCAGUGAAAUGCGUAGAUAUGCGGAGGAACACCGAUGGCGAAGGCAAUCCCCUGGGCCUGUACUGACGCUCAUGCACGAAAGCGUGGGGAGCAAACAGGAUUAGAUACCCGUGUAGUCCCUGUCUCUUAUAC
Molecule: ribosomal RNA, 304 nt
Filed under: uncultured bacterium
Lineage: Bacteria
Description: partial 16S ribosomal RNA
Rfam family: Bacterial small subunit ribosomal RNA
Source: RNAcentral